UUGGACUAAAACGCUUCCAUCGCAAUAAGGAGUACUCUGUUCAAGGAGGCCAUUAAUCCAGAAGCGCAAAAACACGGCGGACCAAAACGCAACUCCGAGGGCGACGUCCUACUAUGCUUUGUAUUGCCGUUCACUUCCCCGACGUACACCGGUCUUUGUCCUCGCGAUCACAGUGUUCCGUUUCGUCUCAGAGCACCUUCUUCAUCGGCCGCAAUCCAUGAAUCUAUCUGUCGCCGUCAGCCGCGGUUCCGUCACAGAUUCAACUCGACAAUUCAGAGGUUCAGAUCAAACGCCGCGAAUCCAAACAACAACCUUCUAACCAUGCUUGCUUGACGUGAAAAAGCGAAAUCGGAAGAAAUUCGCGCCGUGAAAUCGAGAUGAAGCUCAAUGGAAGCAAGAAACACUUACCGAAUUAACACGUCUUUUACAGGGAUAAUGAUGUGAAGGUUUGGAAGCUGUUUCUUUCUGCGUUUCAAAUGCUUGGCAAAGUUAUAGCUUCACUUCGUCUCAAAUACGUACGGCAUUGCGUUUCGGUUGUUCAUGCUGGAUUUUUGUGGUUUCCGUUUCAUGCUGGCUUGUAUGGACCGCGUUCUUCAAUCCGUUUCUGUUAUCUGCUGCAAAGCAGAUGGUACUCAACACUGUAAUGGAUAAUAUGGAUAUUAAAUGGAUAUUUGGGGUUAAUUGGUA
Lathyrus oleraceus (garden pea) is the source of this 687-nucleotide long non-coding RNA. RefSeq lists it as uncharacterized. The transcript is spliced from 2 exons. NCBI's taxonomy places the organism in Eukaryota, Viridiplantae, Streptophyta, Magnoliopsida, Fabales, Fabaceae. The record is from RefSeq and is a predicted model, not a curated record.